UACGUAGGGUGCAAGCGUUAAUCGGAAUUACUGGGCGUAAAGCGUGCGCAGGCGGUUUUGUAAGUCUGUCGUGAAAUCCCCGGGCUCAACCUGGGAAUGGCGAUGGAGACUGCAAGGCUAGAAUCUGGCAGAGGGGGGUGGAAUUCCACGUGUAGCAGUGAAAUGCGUAGAGAUGUGGAGGAACACCGAUGGCGAAGGCAGCCCCCUGGGUCAACACUGACGCUCAUGCACGAAAGCGUGGGGAGCAAACAGG
This 253-nucleotide ribosomal RNA is filed under the name uncultured bacterium. Its description in RNAcentral is "partial 16S ribosomal RNA". It matches the Rfam family "Bacterial small subunit ribosomal RNA", at positions 524 to 776 of the family's 1533-position model. The record is from RNAcentral.